CACGUAUUAAGUACUACACACUUCUUCCCAUCUGACAGGAUUUUACAACCCGAGGGCCUUCAUCAUCCACGCGGCGUCGCUGCGUCAGGGUUGCCCCCAUUGCGCAAUAUUCCUC
This 115-nucleotide ribosomal RNA is filed under the name uncultured bacterium. Its description in RNAcentral is "partial 16S ribosomal RNA". The record is from RNAcentral.